GGUCGGANNUGACGGUACCGUAAAUAAUAGGCACCGGCUAGCUACGUGCCAGCAGCCGCGGUAAUACGUAGGGUGCAAGCGUAAAUCGGAAUUACUGGGCGUAAAGCGUGCGCAGGCGGUUUUGUAAGAGGCGUGAAAUCCCCGGGCUCAACCUGGGAAUGGCGAUUGUGACUGCAUCGCUGGAGUGCGGCAGAGGGGGAUGGAAUUCCGCGUGUAGCAGUGAAAUGCGUAAAUAUGCGGAGGACCACCGAUGGCUUUUGCAAUCCCCUGGGCCUGCACUGACGCUCAUGCACAGAU
RNAcentral lists this ribosomal RNA (297 nucleotides) under uncultured bacterium. RNAcentral's name for it is "partial 16S ribosomal RNA". It matches the Rfam family "Bacterial small subunit ribosomal RNA", at positions 461 to 758 of the family's 1533-position model. The record is from RNAcentral.